RNAcentral lists this ribosomal RNA (326 nucleotides) under uncultured eukaryote. Its description in RNAcentral is "partial 18S ribosomal RNA". It matches the Rfam family "Eukaryotic small subunit ribosomal RNA", at positions 1470 to 1796 of the family's 1831-position model. The record is from RNAcentral.
CCCUUAGAUGUUCUGGGCCGCACGCGCGCUACACUGAUGCAUUCAACAAGCCUAGCCUUGACCGAGAGGUCCGGGUAAUCUUUGAAACUGCAUCGUGAUGGGGCUAGAUUAUUGCAAUUAUUAAUCUUCAACGAGGAAUGCCUAGUAAGCGUGAUUCAUCAAAUCGCGUUGAUUACGUCCCUGCCCUUUGUACACACCGCCCGUCGCUGCCCGGGACUGAGCCGUUUCGAGAAAAGCGGGGACUGCUGCUGUCGGGGCUUUCGGGCCUUGGCUUCGGUGGAAACCGCUUUAAUCGCAGUGGCUUGAACCGGGCAAAAGUCGUANCA